CCUACGGGAGGCAGCAGUGAGGAAUAUUGGUCAAUGGGCGUAAGCCUGAACCAGCCAAGUCGCGUGCAGGAUGACGGCUCUAUGGAUUGUAAACUGCUUUUAUGCGGGGAUAAAGUGUGUGACGUGUCCUGUUUUGUAUGUACCUUAUGAAUAAGGAUCGGCUAACUCCGUGCCAGCAGCCGCGGUAAUACGGAGGCUCCGAGCGUUAUCCGGAUUUAUUGGGUUUAAAGGGAGCGUAGGCUGCAUGUUAAGUGAGCCGUGAAAUGCCGUGGCUCAACCAUGGCAUUGCCGUGUAAACUGGGGUGCUUGAGUACGCGGGAGGUAUGCGGAAUUCGUGGUGUAGCGGUGAAAUGCUUAGAUAUCACGAAGAACUCCGAUUGCGAAGGCAGCAUACGGCAGCGCUACUGACGCUGAAGCACGAAGGCGCGGGGAUCGAACAGGAUUAGAUACCCUUGUAGUC
Molecule: ribosomal RNA, 460 nt
Filed under: uncultured bacterium
Lineage: Bacteria
Description: partial 16S ribosomal RNA
Rfam family: Bacterial small subunit ribosomal RNA
Source: RNAcentral